CUGGGCGUAAAGCGCGCGUAGGCGGUUUGUUAAGUCAGAUGUGAAAUCCCCGGGCUCAACCUGGGAAUGGCAUUUGAGACUGGCAGGCUAGAGUAUGGUAGAGGUGAGUGGAAUUUCAGGUGUAGCGGUGAAAUGCGUAGAGAUCUGAAGGAACAUCAGUGGCGAAGGCGACUCACUGGGCCAUUACUGACGCUGAGGUGCGAAAGCGUGGGUAGCAAACAGGAUUAGAUACCCUGGUAGUCCACGCCCUAAACGAUGUCAACUAGGUGUAUGGAGAAAAUAUUCUUUGUGUAUCGAAGCUAACGCGAUAAGUUGACCGCCUGGGGAGUACGGUCGCAAGACUAAAACUCAAAUGAAUUGACGGGGGCCCGCACAAGCGGUGGAGCAUGUGGUUUAAUUCGAUGCAACGCGAAGAACCUUACCUGGCCUUGACAUG
Molecule: ribosomal RNA, 436 nt
Filed under: uncultured bacterium
Lineage: Bacteria
Description: bacterial SSU rRNA
Rfam family: Bacterial small subunit ribosomal RNA
Source: RNAcentral